This 338-nucleotide ribosomal RNA is filed under the name Synneuron annulipes. RNAcentral describes it as "partial 16S ribosomal RNA". The record is from RNAcentral. Lineage: Eukaryota; Metazoa; Arthropoda; Insecta; Diptera; Synneuridae.
UUUUUUAAUUAAAAACUUGUAUGAAUGGCUUAAUGAGGUAUUUUCUGUUUCAUAUAAAAUUAAUGAAUUUAUUUUUUAGUAAAAAAACUAAAAUAAAUUAAAAAGACGAGAAGACCCUAUAGAUCUUUAUAACUAAAUUAAUUUUUAUAUAUUAAUAAAUUUAAAUUUUAAUUUAAUUAGUUAAUUAAUUGGGGUGAUUAUAAUAUUUAUAUAACUAUUUAAUUAAAUAAUCAAUAAUUUUUGUUUAUAUUGAUCUUUUAUUAAGGAUUAAUAAUUUUAGUUACCUUAGGGAUAACAGCGUAAUAUUUUUUAAAGUUCUUAUUAAAGAAAAAGUUUGC